UGGGGAAUUUUGGACAAUGGGCGAAAGCCUGAUCCAGCCAUGCCGCGUGAGUGAAGAAGGCCUUCGGGUUGUAAAGCUCUUUUAGUCGGAAAGAAAGAGUUGCAAUGAAUAAUUGUGAUUUAUGACGGUACCGACAGAAAAAGCACCGGCUAACUACGUGCCAGCAGCCGCGGUAAUACGUAGGGUGCGAGCGUUAAUCGGAAUUACUGGGCGUAAAGGGUGCGCAGGCGGUCUUGCAAGUCAGAUGUGAAAGCCCCGGGCUCAACCUGGGAAUUGCGUUUGAAACUACAAGACUAGAGUGCAGCAGAGGGGAGUGGAAUUCCAUGUGUAGCAGUGAAAUGCGUAGAGAUGUGGAAGAACACCGAUGGCGAAGGCAGCUCCCUGGGUUGACACUGACGCUCAUGCACGAAAGCGUGGGGAGCAAACA
Molecule: ribosomal RNA, 427 nt
Filed under: uncultured beta proteobacterium
Lineage: Bacteria; Pseudomonadati; Pseudomonadota; Betaproteobacteria
Description: bacterial SSU rRNA
Rfam family: Bacterial small subunit ribosomal RNA
Source: RNAcentral